RNAcentral lists this long non-coding RNA (1511 nucleotides) under Zonotrichia albicollis (white-throated sparrow). Its description in RNAcentral is "lncRNA (ENSZALG00000013280.1)". The record is from RNAcentral. Lineage: Eukaryota; Metazoa; Chordata; Aves; Passeriformes; Passerellidae.
ACCAGCUUUCAGGGGGUUAUGUAAUUGAAAUGUUAUUAUUUGCAGGUUUCCUUCUACCUUAGAAGACACAAAGCUCCUUGUUGCAAUGUUUUCUGUUGGUGACUGGCUACCUCCAGGGGCUGACGAGGAGAUGUAAAACUACAGUGAACCCAGGGACCAUUUCAAAUCUAGGCCUAGUUUCACACUGGUGCAGUUUGACCCAAAACAAUGGGUCCUUCACAGGUCAGUGUCUUACUUCAGGAGGCCCCUUCAAUCUCCAGCACCAGCUAUGGGUCCUGCUUAAAUGAUGAGGCCUUAUGUGCUUAGAGGUCCAUAAAGCAAAGCUGAAGCUGCACAGAAGCCAUUCCGUUAAGCCAAAGCUGUGGCUCAUAAAUUAUUUGACUGUAAGUUAACCAUUAAUUGUAGGAGACUUUCUGCAUAUUAUUCAGAAUUAAAUUAUUGUUUCUUGCUCAGGGAGAAAAAAUGAGGUAAUGAAGAAGAAAGAGGAAGACAAAGGGAAAAGGAUACUUCUGGAUACUGCAAAGAUGUCUAAACUUCACUAGCAUGCUCAUCAUGUUUCAUGUUAGUUUGUACAUGUUUGAAAUGGUGGUGCCAAUCCUGACCAGCAGAGAUCCCAGACUGAGUCCUGCCUUGGAACCUGACAGCCUGCAUUUCCUGAGUUAACAGGCCCAGCACAAGGUUGCUCGCACCACCCUUCCUCAGGCAAGAAGCCCUUUUCACAUUGCUGACUACACAUGAGAUUGUUUCAAUUCAUAUCCUAUCUGGAGCAAAAGGCUUUGUCUGAAGCUGUCAUGACGUCGCUAGCUGAAACUGCCAGAGGAUUUUUGUUGGACCUGAACUUCUCUAUGGUGGAAAUAGCUCCUGAGCACUGAAUCACAGCAGUACAAGAGCAGAGCAGUUUUACAGUUUUAUCUCCUCUGCAGGCAAACAUUCCUUCUCCUACAGAUCACCAUAAGGGUAACAAAACUUUAUCAGCAUGACUAACACCAUAAUGCCUUGAUUCACUUAACAGUAUAGAUAUCUUUUGUACCAGCCCAUUGGAAGAUAGAAUUUCCUAAAAUUUAAAGCAAGUUUUGAUCAUGCAGUACUCUACCAAGCAGAGUUAGAAUCACCCAUGGCUUUGCUCUUGCCUUAUAGGUCUCAUCUUGCCCAUGUGCAUGUUAAUACAUUUUGUCACUUUUGUGACUUCUAUUGAGCCUGUUUGGAGGAAGUCUUGCCCAUCUCAGUCUUCCACUUACACCAGUAAAAGUUUUGCUGCUAUUUGCACUGAUUUAGGCUCCUGAUAUCAAAUACAACUGUAUGAAAAGCAGAGACAAAAAUUUGAACUUAAGAUUCUCGGCUGAAAUAACAGAGCACAACUUCCUUAAUUUGUACCAUCUGCUCAUACAGGCCAUGCUUGUCAGGUCUGAAGCUUUCUGAGUCAUUCAUCCAGUAGCAGGACUUCUGGAAAAUUGACUGAGGGUGGAAAAUGGUACUCAUGAAGAAUAAAUUUUGUAUUAUAACUAAUCUCA